UGAGGGAAAGUUGCAAAGAACUUUGAAGAGAGAGUUCAAGAGUACGUGAAACUGCCCGGAGGUAAACGGGUGGGCCCUCGAAAUCCUCUUGCGGAGGGAUUCAGUCGGGAGCGCGGCAGAGCGACGUCGGCGACGGACCCCUCGAAAGGGCCGCGCCGGCGGCGUGCUUCGGCCGGCGCCCGACGCAAUUCCUUCCGCACCCAGGACGCCGCGACCGAUCGGGACCCGGCCAUGAGGGGAUCCCAGGAGGUGGCCGAGCGCACCGGACCCCGGUCCGGGCGCACGGUCUCGCCGGGAUCUCCGCGGUGCGCGGGAUCCGAUCGAGGUCAGACGGGUCUCCUGCCUCCGAGGCUGCGGAGCGUCGGGUCGGCGAGCCCCCGCGAGAUCGAACCACCCCAGUCGGUGGCCGGUCCGCGGGUGUGCCGCUGUCGGGCCCGAGCGACCGCGGAGGAGAGCGACCGGUCGGCGGCGAGUAGGUCGGUCACCCACCCGACCCGUCUUGAAACACGGACCAAGGAGUCUAACAUGUGCGCGAGUCGCAGGGUCUUGCCCAGGCCCUCGGGCGCAAUGAAAGUGAAUCGGUCGGGAUUCCCUCUCGAGAGAGGGGGAAGCACCGACGGCCCGUCCCGAUCGACACGUCGUUCGGGCGGAGUCGGAGCGUACACGUUGGGACCCGAAAGAUGGUGAACUAUGCCUGGGCAGAACGAAGCCAGGGGAAACCCUGGUGGAGGUUCGCAGCGGUUCUGACGUGCA
Molecule: ribosomal RNA, 753 nt
Filed under: Modisimus sp. Cu12-100
Lineage: Eukaryota; Metazoa; Arthropoda; Arachnida; Araneae; Pholcidae
Description: Platnicknia sp. Cu12-100 partial 28S ribosomal RNA
Rfam family: Eukaryotic large subunit ribosomal RNA
Source: RNAcentral